UAGCAGCUAGUGCUAUGGUCAGCUACACCCUCUCAUCCAAAUAAGGUCACUUCUGGCUCCAAAAAUCAAAAGCCAAAAGUAUUUUUGUCCCUGACUUCCACAUGUUGGAUUGUUGGACAAAUAAGUAGUCCCUCAAGUAAGUAAACACCAAGAUGGAAUACUUGCACAGUCAACACAUGGUUAUUAUUAGGUGCAAACCACUGAGAACCACUCGUGCUUCUGGCAGAAGGAUGUUUGUGAAUAGUGCAGUAUACUGAUCAUCUUCCUCUUUUUCUGAAAGUACACAAAAGUAAAGAUAUCAAUACAACAGAUAUGCGUCAUUUUUCUGUGUGGCAGCGAUAUUUCACGACGGUAAGUAAACUUUUUUUUAAAAUCAGUUUUUGUCACAAUAAUGGUGACAAUGACAGUCAGUCAGAAAGCUCAGCAUCAGCCAGAAAUCAGCUGUGUUUGGAGGUUUUGUGACUAAUUAAUAAUUUGUUUAUUUUUCUGUCCGGCUGAAGAGCAACGUUAUGGCAGAACAAAGGAGAGAACAACAAGAAGAUGCCCAACAAUCAGGUUCAGGUCGAGAUGAAAACAGGUUAAAAUGCAACAUGGAAAUGACAGUUUCACACAUUGGUUUGUAAUGCUAAUUUCAAAUAAUGCUGUGAGUGAAUUAACAUUAUGGUUGGCAUACAGUCAGAUAGAUUAGAUUAGCCUCAAAAAGAUUAAGACUGGGCUGCACCAAUAAAGAUUAAUUUAAUAUAAGAUUAGUUUUAAUCAGUUUAGCAAAACUGUGCUUAAAAUGAGUAAAUCCAGAUUUAAAAGUAAGCACAGCUCCGUUGCACAAUUAAAAACUAAUCACUGUUUAUUGAAUCCGUAUGGAGAUGGUUGCUCACCCAAAUUACAUUUUAAAUUGGAGUUUAAAGUUUUGAUGCAAUAGAUUUAAAUUUAAUCUGGGUUUAGAGUAAAAACUCAACUGAGGUUUCAAUUGAAUCCUUCUUAAUUUUAAGAUAGUUAUAAAGUUUGGUGCAACAUAAUUUAAAGUUAAACCAUGACUCAAUCGGGUUUAAAAUGUAAUCCUUGUUGGUGCAACCCAGCCUAAAGGCUACAAACAUCCCAUAAUGCAACACUCUGUGUAGAAGUCAGUUUUACACUGAAGCUUCAUCCACUCAAAAAGAAUAUCUGAUGUUGUGAACACGUCAUUGUCUAGCUGUUAGCGGAGUGUGUAUGAAAAUUAACCUUUAGACCGACAUGUGUAACUAGUCAGAAAUGUUCUCGGCGGUUAACCGUUGACGUCACUAGUUUAAUGUGAAGAUGUUUGACAGUAACAGUAACAUCUGCUUUUCAUAGAUUUUUCAUAUUGAUUAUGGCGACAUUUUACUCACAGAAUGUAAAGACAAAAGGUUUCAGCUUGCUUUACUGGGUCUUUUGUGAUGCCACCACCAGGAGUCAGAAAUGUUUAAAUCCUCCACAAAUCCUCUACAAAACUCUAAUCUACACAAUUUAUUGGAUAGAUCCAACGACAGUAAAAGUUCAAACUUUAUCCAAACUCUCCAUCAGAUCUUGUCGGGGUACUUUCUGAUUCAUAAGGGACAUUUCUGCUAUUCAUGCAUUUAACAAACAUAUCAGAUGUCAAUGAAAUCACAGUAAAAGUGGUGAGUAAAAGUUGAAAUAUUGGAGGAUUUCAGAGGAUUUUGAGAACUGCAAAACAAAAGAAAGACCAGAUCCGAGACAUGAUGAGGAAGCAGAAUCAGUUGGAGCAGAAGUGCAUAGAGGUAAACGUCCAUUUGUCAUGUCACGUGGUUUAACUUCCAUCUGUGACUCAGUUAGCGAAGCCUAACGUUGUGUAUGCCUGGGGGAGGAAUGCAUGCCGAGGAGUGACAUCAUGAAGUGCUUCAGCAAAAGGCUCAGAAGAUCUCAAAAAGCUUGAAGACUUGAUGGAGCAACUGAAGGUCAUAUGCGUCUCUGAGGACGACGGUGUACAGGAGGACAUACUGGGACAGAAGCCUGCAGGAUCUCCUGAGUGACUCUUCUGCUGCAUCUCUCUGAAACAUUUUGUAUUUUAAAAUGUCUUUAUUAUUAUCUUCAUGUUGACUGCAGGGAACAUCAAACUCAGUAGCAGCAUAUUUACCACUGUCGGUAAACAUAAAUGUAGCUGUGGUUGAUAAUUUAUUGAUUUAUUUAGCAGUAACAACGUCAGUAAUGCAGAUAAUUAAUUGUAUCGUUACUCUUGUUUUCCAUCAAAUGGUAAAUGCAGAGGACAGACAACCAGAGAAGAAGAAGAAUCGAGACACCCCUGCAGCCAGUUCAAGUUUAGUCUCCCCCCGUGUGAGCCGGACUGAUGGAUGAGUUCAACGUUUCAUGUGAGAAAACCACAGCGACCACUGGUCUGCUCCACCGGCUGAAAGACACUUUUAGCUCCUUUUUAAAUCGAGGAUCAAACAACUGGGAAAAAGCUACCAAAAGGAUUCAGUUUCACCAGCAAAUACUGAUUAUUGAUUGUUUAACACGGCUUAAAAUAAAGAAUGUCUAAUAAAAAGGGCAGUAAAAUAAGAAAAGAUAUUGACGCUUUUGUGUUGUUGCUAAAAACUCUGUGAAUCUGUGGAUUACAGCGUCAUUCAAUAAGAUGAUUACACUAUAAAAAAGAAAAAUAUUGAUGUAUUAUAUUAAUCAAUACUUGGAAAAAAAACCCCUCAUAACUCAGUCACAUACACUCUGUGUCCACUUUAUUAGGUACACCUGUACAGUCUAAUGCAACCCAAUACAACUGUUGUGCCAUAAAGUUUUAGCAUUGAUGUCAUAUUUAGUCUAAUAUUCUGUUUCAUGUCCAGUAUGGAAAUGAGAGAAACACUUAUCAUUAUAAUGUAGUUCAGUACAACAACACCUUCAUCUCAUUGAAUCAUUGAAUUUUCUAACAAUGUCAACAAAAACUGAACAUGAGUUUUGUACAGAUAGACGCUGAGGCAGGGAUAUUAGACUGCACAGGUGUAGUCAGUAAAGUAAAGUUAUUGAACUCAAACUUAACUUAAAAGUGCAGUUUUUCCAUCUGAGAAACUGUUGUUGUAAAUUAGCUCUGGAAAGUGGAGCGAUACGGGCUCGAGUAAGGCAGAAUGAGAUUCAGAGGUCGUGAAAUGAUCAAAACUAACUUCAAAGCUUGAGUUUGUCAGUCACCCUGCGUGAACCUGUGAAGAGCCUCUGCAAUCUGUAGGAAACAAGUCUACAUGCCAUGCUAACGUUAGCCUGACAUUAGCAUGCUAACGGUAACAUGCCGAUGAUUAGCAGGUAUAAUGCAGUAUUUCCUCUAUAUUCAUUUAGCUUUAAUGUUAUCUAAAACUAAAGUGUUGUUCAGAUGCUUUAGAAGUUGUGAUUAUAUAGCCAUUAAAACACUUUUUUUUUUUUUUUUUUUAACACUGGAGCCUCAACUUCAAACAUAACUUAGACCCAAUCAGCAACAGAUAUGGGACAAAACCAGAAUUACUGCCCAAAGCAGCACAUCCGUAUUUAAGCUAUAAUAUGUAAUUAUUCUGCAUUAAAAUGUCUAAAAACAACUAGACCUAUGUUAUAUAUGUUGUUGA
Thunnus maccoyii (southern bluefin tuna) is the source of this 3554-nucleotide long non-coding RNA. RefSeq lists it as uncharacterized. NCBI's taxonomy places the organism in Eukaryota, Metazoa, Chordata, Actinopteri, Scombriformes, Scombridae. The transcript has 4 exons. The record is from RefSeq and is a predicted model, not a curated record.